This 497-nucleotide ribosomal RNA is filed under the name uncultured bacterium. Its description in RNAcentral is "partial 16S ribosomal RNA". It matches the Rfam family "Bacterial small subunit ribosomal RNA", at positions 28 to 507 of the family's 1533-position model. The record is from RNAcentral.
GACGAACGCUGGCGGCGUGCCUAAUACAUGCAAGUUGAGCGAUGAAGCUUGGUGCUUGCACCAAUUUGAAGAGCAGCGAACGGGUGAGUAACGCGUGGGGAAUCUGCCUUUGAGCGGGGGACAACAUUUGGAAACGAAUGCUAAUACCGCAUAACAACUUUAAACAUAAGUUUUAAGUUUGAAAGAUGCAAUUGCUUCACUCAAAGAUGAUCCCGCGUUGUAUUAGCUAGAUUGUGAGGUAAAGGCUUACCAAGGCGAUGAUACAUAGCCGACCUGAGAGGGGGAUCGGCCACAUUGGGACUGAGACACGGCCCAAACUCCUACGGGAGGCAGCAGUAGGGAAUCUUCGGCAAUGGACGAAAGUCUGACCGAGCAACGCCGCGGGAGUUAAGAAGGUUUUCGGAUCGUAAAACUCUGUUGGUAGAGAAGAAAGAUGGUGAGAGUGGAAAGCUCAUCAAGUGACGGUAACUACCCAGAAAGGGACGGCUAACUACGUG